GACGAACCGUGCGAACGUUGUUCGGAAUCACUGGGCUUAAAGGGUGCGUAGGCGGGUUCCCAAGUCCGGGGUGAAAUCUUUCGGCUUAACCGGAAAAUAGCCUCGGAUACUGGGAGUCUUGAGGGAGGUAGGGGCAGCUGGAACUUCCGGUGGAGCGGUGAAAUGCGUUGAUAUCGGAAGGAACGCCGGUGGCGAAAGCGAGCUGCUGGACCUCUUCUGACGCUGAGGCACGAAAGCCAGGGGAGCAAACGGG
Molecule: ribosomal RNA, 253 nt
Filed under: uncultured bacterium
Lineage: Bacteria
Description: partial 16S ribosomal RNA
Rfam family: Bacterial small subunit ribosomal RNA
Source: RNAcentral